Molecule: long non-coding RNA, 4495 nt
Organism: Fukomys damarensis (Damara mole-rat)
Lineage: Eukaryota; Metazoa; Chordata; Mammalia; Rodentia; Bathyergidae
Exons: 5
Source: RefSeq, a predicted model, not a curated record
AAGUGCUAGGCCCAGUACUCAAGAAUAGCAACACUCCCAGUAACAGCAGGAGUCCCACUUAGCCUGUUUUGAAGUUCCUGCUGGUUUCUUUCCUUGAAUCAACCAACAAGUUCCUGGCACUAGGACCCUGCAGACAGGGAAUCCCGAGCCUGCGCUCUAAAGAGAAAGAUGCACCAUUUCACAACUUCAGCAAAAGCCAAAGCAGCCAACAAAGCCACAGCCACCUCGGCUUCUGCUAGGCUCUCCCAGGCUCUGCUGUUUGGGCAGCUCACCGGGGCCACUCCCCAGAAGCAGAUCAUUCUAUCUUUUCUCUUUCUAAAACCACAUCAUCAUCAGAUCAUAAUGGAAAUCAAUCUCCUCGAACUAUCAUGCAAAGGCGUAACCAUGGCAACCUCAAGAGGAAGGACACAGAGAUGAUGCUUCAGUGGCUGCAGCAGAAAAAGAUUUCUCAACCAUGUUCCCACAGAAAACCUGUGGCACACUCCCGGGAAAGAAGGGGACCCUAGCAGAUCUGGAGGACUCAGGCGCAGGCAUUCUAAGACCAGGCGAACACUGCCAGCUGAGGAACUCAGAUCCUUGCAGGUAAGGCCAUCCUAUGAACUUUACAGAAGGAUUUUGGAGCCUCUUUGCCAUUCUCCAGUGGAAACAUCAGUGGGGUCCGAGCCUUCAACAUCAAUACAAGGAUCCUGGUCCCUCCUGAGGCUUAUGGAAACUCUUAAAGGAGACUCACCUUUAACUCUACAAUUCAGGUAUUGUCAGGCCCCUCUAACCAGUGACCCCUUUGGUAUCCUUUCCCCCACACUGCUUUGUCUUCUUCUCUUUUUAUUUGCUCUUAUAGCUUCUAUUUUUGGGCAUCUCCUGCCUGCCCUAAGUCUCUCUACCACAGGGUUGUCAUCCUCACAACCUGUUACACCCCUGGUUUGCAUGCUUAGAAAUUUUUCCUCAGGAUUUUCUUAUGGUUAUGGCCUGAAAAUGUCAAAGAACAAAUGUUACACUUUUUGCAAACUCAAGUGGCCCUCUUUUGGUGUGGGAUGGCCCUCUGAGUGCUCCCUCAACCCUGCCCAGGUUCAAGUGUUUGGAGGGCUGUUACUGGGUCACCAGGACACCCUGAUCAGUUCCUUUACAUCAACUCCUGACUUAACUGAGUGCAGCAUCCUCCUCCAUGGCUAAAGGUCUGCACCAGAAAGGCCUAUUCAAAGUUGCUUGCCUCCAAAAACUGUUGUCCCCCUCAUGGGCAAACUCCAAAGAGAUAAAACCCAGUCCUAGUGCUGUGGAAGUCCUCCCCUGUCCACCUCUUUAUAGCCCUAGUUUGCCCCCUCUCCUGUCUGCCCCAACCCAUCUGCCCCUGACUCCCUUGUUUUUUUCCUCUACUUCCCCUCCUACCUCUUUCCCCACAUGAGAACAUCAGCAAUCCCAGAAGGAGGUCACCACCUCGUGAAGAUGCAGUCCAGAGGCUCUCUUGCUUUUGAGGGAAGCCCCACCUCCUGAUGGGACAGAACCAGAAACCCACCAAUUCCUGGUAUAUGUUCCCUUUUCCACUUCUGACCUCUACAACUGGAAAACCCAGAAUCCAGCAUUCUCUGAGAAGCCCCAGGUUCUGAUUUUCCUGAUUGAGUCAAUCUUUAGGACUCAUCUACUGACCUGGGAUGACUGUCAACAGUUGUUAUUGACCCUGUUCAUAACCAAGGAGUGGGACAGGAUUAGGUUUGAGGCUAGAAAGGUUUUAUUGGGAGGGUGUUCAGACGUGGAGGCCCAUGAAUUGCUGAAAGAAGGCUUCCCCUCAGAGUGCCCUGAAUGGAACCCAAAUUCUUCAGGGGGGAAACCUUGCACCAGAACUUGUUGAACAGGAUCCAGGUAGUGGCUUAGAAUCUCAUAAAUCUGUCAAAAGCCACUGAAGUAACAUAGGGACCAGAAGAAUCCCCCUCUGUGUUCCUAGAGACUCCAAGAGGCCUUCUGGGUUUACACCCUAUUGAACCCCUUGGCUCCAGAGAACAACAGAGCUAUAAAUCCAGAUUUUGUUGGCUAGUCUGCAGCUGAUAUUGGGAAGAAAUUACAAAAAUUGGAGGAAUUCCCAGGAAUUAAUACAUCUCAGCUGUUAGAAGUAGCUCAAAAGAUGUUUCACAAUAGGAAUUCAGAAAAGCAAAAAUUGGCCAUAGCUGUGGCAGAAAGAUCAGCCAAGAAACAAGCAAAGAUCUUGGUAGCAAGCUUUUGAGGGUCCCCACAGGACUCAACUCCAGGAAGCCCAAAGGACAAGUGUCUAGAGAGCCAGGAGGAUGCCCACUAUUGGGCAGAAAUCAAUGUGCUUAUUGCAAGGAGAAAGGCCACUGGAAACAUGAAUGCCCCCACAGGCCCUCUGCCCUGCUACUAUCCCUCCCCACAUCUGGGAGAAAGGAAGAUUCAGACUGAGGAAGCCAGGGCUCCUCUCUUGGUCCCCAGGAGCCCAUGGUAAAUGUUGAAGCAGGGGGCAAACUGGUCCACUUCCUGGUGGACACUAGCACCAAGAGGUCAGUGUUAAAAAUGCUUCUGGGAGAGCUUUCAUCACAAAUCAUUCCCAUCCAGGAAGCCAUGGGAGCAGUCCAAAGCUGCCUGCUUACGAGGAACAGUGCUGAGUCUGGGAUCAAAACAAAUUACUCACUCCUUUCUGGUGAUACCAGACUGCCCAUUCCCCUUGCUGGGAUGAGACCUAAACUAAAGGUCACCAUUUCUUUCACUAUGACUGAGUCUCAGAUGUCACUCCCUUCAUACCAACUGUCCUUGACCACCGCCCUGUUUGAGGCCUAUCUCUUCUCAGGGGAAGAAAACAAAGAGGAAACAAGCCCCAAGGACUUAUUAGACAGACUUCAGGCAGAGUUCCUGAAGGUGUGGGUGGAACUAACCCACUGGGUUUGGCUGCUUACCACCCUCCAGUGAUAGUUGAGCUCUUGUCAACAGUCACAACUGUCCAAAUUCGAGAAUACCCCAUGUCUCAGAAGGUCAGACAGGAGAUAGCCCCUCACAUUAAGAGGCUGCUGGACUUUGGGAUAUUAAUUCCCUGUGAGUCUCCAUUGAUCACCCCAUUCCUGUCAGUACAGAAAUCAGGGAUGUUAGAUUACAGGCUGGUCCAGAAAUUGAGAGAAAUCAACUGGUGAGUGGUAGCUCUGCACCCUACUGUUGCCAACCCAUAUAUCCUCCUGAGUUUGCUGUCUCCUGAGCACCAAGUGCAUACUGUGCUAGAUGUAAAGGAUGUCUUUUCAGUGUUCCCCUUGCCUCAGCUAGCCAGCAUAUCUUUGCCUUUGAGUGAACUGACCCAGUUUCCAGAAACUCAGGUCAGCUCACCUGGACCCAGCUGCCUCAAGGAUUCAAAAAUGUACCCACUCUGUUUGGUGAAGCCCUCAAGAAGGAGUUGGUGAGUUUUAAAUUCCACCACCUAACCUCAUCCUGCUUCAAUAUGUGGAUGAUUUGUUCUUAACUGCUACCAGCUAUUCAGAAUGCCUGAAGGGGGUGCAAGAGCUUCUUCAGCUGCUAGAGGAGUUGGACUACCAUGUCUCAGCCAAGAAGGCACAACUCUGUGCCCCUAAAGUAUUGCACCUGGGGUAUGAAAUCUCAGAAGAAGAGCUCUGUCCCAGGCCAGGAAAGGGGCCAUCCUCCAGAUACCCACACCAAUUACCAACAAACAUGUAUGAGAAUUCCUAGGUGCAGCUGGAUACCUGGGUUUGCUGAGAUAGCACAGCGCCUCCAUUCUGCCGUGGGAGGAAAUCAGCCCCUAGAAUGGGAAAUAGAUGAAGAAACCUUCCAGAAUCUGAAAAGAGCUCUGGUACAGCCCCAGCCUUGGCACUGCCCGAUAUUGCCAACCCUUUUCAUCUGUUCAUCCAUGAGGUUAACCAGAGUAAGGAGGAAAGAGCCAGGACCACAGACCAGGUUGCUGAAUGGAGCCCACAAUAGAGCAGAGACUGCCAGCCUGCCACUGGGAUGUUCGAGUGGGUGAAAGGAAGGCCAAGUUAAGGCAGACUGGAGACCACCAAUGAAGCAGGCCUGGACAACUGCUUCCCCUGGGGUUUGGAGAGAGAAUAGACACCCUUGGAAAAAACUGACAAGAAACUUCACUCCAAUUCCUAAGGGAACUCAGUAUUUAUUUUCCAUAGGUGGGGGAAGAUUCAGUUCCCACCUCCAGGGUUCUGAAGAUCAGGAAUCAGAAUGGGGCAUGGGCUUGGAGGGGAGCAGCCAUACUUGAGGGGUAACCUUUACUAGCUCUGGCCCAGUCACCUCGGGCUUGGGCAUACCUGUCUGGAUGACAUGUUGGUCAAGUGAAGAAGUACCUUGUUCUUUGGCCUCCUGGGGCACAGCAGAGCUGAGAAGUACUUGGGUGCUCCUGUUCCUCAUGCUCACACCAGGAGCUAACCUCAUGGUUUCUGGCUGCACCACCGGCUUCCACAGCACCUGGGAUGAGGCCUCGAGGAUCCGGGGUGCUAUUUGGGGCCACCCAAAAUCCUGGUCUUCCUUGUCAGCAGGCUCCAAG